GCCAAACAAACCACGCCGGGCACGCACCGCCCUGGGCGGGGAGCACCGCGCCGGCGGAAGGCCCGGGAGAGGCCCCGACCCUGCAGGCUCUUGUUUUUGCCUGAGUCCUGCCUGGUGCAAAGGCAGCUGCUUUCUGUGGUGGUCCCCCAGUCUCUGCUACAGACAAGAAUAUUUAACCACAGGGGUUCAGAGAAGAAAGCACACGCCCAUUAUCAGAUUUCAGUGACAGCGUUUCAGGUGGGCAAAACAAAGAAAUACAGUUUUAACAUUAUAAGCAAGAACUUUAAAAAUUGGCUUUGACUUGGCUAACUUGCAAGUGAAGAGAAAUCCAGGAUCAAGGAAAUCACCCAAACUCCUAAGCACCACUUUGCCUUUGCAACUCGAUAUUCACAUUUAUUACUAUGAAGUGAAGAAUUUUACCGACUCACCUCUGUGG
Vidua chalybeata is the source of this 436-nucleotide long non-coding RNA. RefSeq lists it as uncharacterized. The record is from RefSeq and is a predicted model, not a curated record. NCBI's taxonomy places the organism in Eukaryota, Metazoa, Chordata, Aves, Passeriformes, Viduidae. The transcript is spliced from 3 exons.